GUGCAUCCAACAGCAUGCAUACUAAACUUGGAAUGAUACAGAGAGAUUAGCAUGUCCCCUGCACAAGGAUGACAUGAAAAUUGAAGUGUUCCAUACAGCUUUU
Suncus etruscus (white-toothed pygmy shrew) is the source of this 103-nucleotide small nuclear RNA. NCBI's taxonomy places the organism in Eukaryota, Metazoa, Chordata, Mammalia, Eulipotyphla, Soricidae. The record is from RefSeq and is a predicted model, not a curated record.